UUUCCACCAAAUUGAGGGCUCCAAUCUAGUCUAAAUCGAUUUCCAAGCACAAAUUCGUGAUCACUUCGUUGAAGGGAUCAUAAGGCGAGGAAUCCGGAUCGUCGAGUGGACAAGCUGGAGAAGAUACGCGUUUGAAGGGUGCGCUUUAAAGGUGAUGUUCGUUAGCUACGGAUGCCGAUCAAGCGUGAUAAAGAACCGAACACUAUUUUUGAAGACUUCCGCGCUAAUCUCUUCUAGC
Molecule: long non-coding RNA, 238 nt
Organism: Helianthus annuus (common sunflower)
Lineage: Eukaryota; Viridiplantae; Streptophyta; Magnoliopsida; Asterales; Asteraceae
Exons: 3
Source: RefSeq, a predicted model, not a curated record